AAAGUCGUAACAAGGUUUCCGUAGGUGAACCUGCGGAAGGAUCAUUACCGAGUUAGGGUCUCCUAGGCCCGAUCUCCCAACCCUUUGUUUACCGAACCUCUGUUGCUUCGGCGGACCCGCCUCGCGGCCGCCGGAGGACUGCCCCUAAGCCGUCCUCUGGCCAGCGUCCGCCGACAGCCAACCCUUCUAAACUCUGAAUAAAUCGUGUUGUAAAUGUCUAAGUCUAUGAUUCAAAUCAAAUAAAAGCAAAACUUUCAACAACGGAUCUCUUGGUUCUG
RNAcentral lists this unclassified non-coding RNA (278 nucleotides) under Ascomycota sp. RNAcentral's name for it is "partial contains small subunit ribosomal RNA, internal transcribed spacer 1, and 5.8S ribosomal RNA". The stretch from base 1 to 47 matches the Rfam family "Eukaryotic small subunit ribosomal RNA", at positions 1785 to 1831 of the family's 1831-position model. The record is from RNAcentral. Lineage: Eukaryota; Fungi; Ascomycota.